AUUGAACGCUGGCGGCAGGCCUAACACAUGCAAGUCGAACGGUAACAGGAAGAAGCUUGCUUCUUUGCUGACGAGUGGCGGACGGGUGAGUAAUGUCUGGGAAACUGCCUGAUGGAGGGGGAUAACUACUGGAAACGGUAGCUAAUACCGCAUAACGUCGCAAGACCAAAGAGGGGGACCUUCGGGCCUCUUGCCAUCGGAUGUGCCCAGAUGGGAUUAGCUAGUAGGUGGGGUAACGGCUCACCUAGGCGACGAUCCCUAGCUGGUCUGAGAGGAUGACCAGCCACACUGGAACUGAGACACGGUCCAGACUCCUACGGGAGGCAGCAGUGGGGAAUAUUGCACAAAGGGCGCAAGCCUGAUGCAGCCAUGCCGCGUGUAUGAAGAAGGCCUUCGGGUUGUAAAGUACUUUCAGCGGGGAGGAAGGGAGUAAAGUUAAUACCUUUGCUCAUUGACGUUACCUGCAGAAGAAGCACCGGCUAACUCCGUG
This 490-nucleotide ribosomal RNA is filed under the name uncultured bacterium. RNAcentral's name for it is "partial 16S ribosomal RNA". It matches the Rfam family "Bacterial small subunit ribosomal RNA", at positions 30 to 507 of the family's 1533-position model. The record is from RNAcentral.